RNAcentral lists this long non-coding RNA (222 nucleotides) under Mytilus galloprovincialis (Mediterranean mussel). Lineage: Eukaryota; Metazoa; Mollusca; Bivalvia; Mytilida; Mytilidae. The record is from RNAcentral.
CCCAGAAUCCGACACUAGUUAGAUUUUUGUUUAAAUUCAAAAUACACACCAAUUCAUAUAUUGAUAUUUUCAACUUUUAUUGUUUCCUCGAAACUACCAUCAUUCAAUUCAAAAAUAUUUGAUGUAAAAGUUUCCCACCCAAUUUUAUAUUUGACAUAUAAAAAACGGACCCCAUUACAGCGGCACUUUUGUAUAAUUGGGGAACUUCGGAAUAUAGGAACU